CAGUCGCCGCGGUAAUACGUAGGUCGCAAGCGUUGUCCGGAAUUAUUGGGCGUAAAGGGCUCGCAGGCGGUUUCUUAAGUCUGAUGUGAAAGCCCCCGGCUCAACCGGGGAGGGUCAUUGGAAACUGGGAAACUUGAGUGCAGAAGAGGUGAGUGGAAUUCCCAGUGUAGAGGUGAAAUUCGUAGAUAUUGGGAAGAACACCAGUGGCGAAGGCGGCUCACUGGACCGACACUGACGCUGAGGCGCGAAAGCGUGGGGAGCAAACAGGAUUAGAUACCCCCGUAGUCCCUGUCUCUUAUAC
RNAcentral lists this ribosomal RNA (301 nucleotides) under uncultured bacterium. RNAcentral's name for it is "partial 16S ribosomal RNA". It matches the Rfam family "Bacterial small subunit ribosomal RNA", at positions 509 to 807 of the family's 1533-position model. The record is from RNAcentral.